AUUCAAGUCUGGCAGCUGUUGAGAAUCCUCAGGUCCCGAGUCUGGUUUCUCUGCCAAAUCUUGCCGCUGUGGCUUACUAGCAGCCAAGCCUUGGCUGUGUCCCAGUCCGGGAUGCCCAGAUCCGCAGACUGAGCUCUUGCAGAUGUUGCAUUGAUUUGGCACAACUGAGGAAGAAGAGAUUAAUGACAUGACUCCCAGACUUGAAGUAAUUGUGUAUGAUGCUCAGCGCCCAACUUCCUUGCACCGGCCAGGCUCUCAGGCAGGAGACGAAAAUAAUAUUACCUUCCAAUUUGAUCUUCUUGGCUGCUAAUUGAUUUUGGGUGCUUUUGAGAUGCACACAGCCACCCUUCCAUAUAUCACAAUAAUCUCUUCCAAAGAAUGGAAAUGUCACCAUAGAACACCUGCUUGAGACGGAUGUGCAGCGCCCUCCAAAAUAUUUGAAAGGACAAGAUUUCUGCGCAAAAGAGCAACCAGAGAGAAACAAAUCACAGCCAAAGGCCCCCCAAGUCCUCCUCUGCCUUGAAAGUCAUUGCUUUUUUUUUUUUUUU
Long non-coding RNA from Hemicordylus capensis (graceful crag lizard), 548 nucleotides. RefSeq lists it as uncharacterized. The record is from RefSeq and is a predicted model, not a curated record. The transcript is spliced from 3 exons. NCBI's taxonomy places the organism in Eukaryota, Metazoa, Chordata, Lepidosauria, Squamata, Cordylidae.